RNAcentral lists this ribosomal RNA (75 nucleotides) under Cytobacillus praedii. RNAcentral's name for it is "Bacillus praedii partial 16S ribosomal RNA". It matches the Rfam family "Bacterial small subunit ribosomal RNA", at positions 1 to 74 of the family's 1533-position model. The record is from RNAcentral. Lineage: Bacteria; Bacillati; Bacillota; Bacilli; Caryophanales; Bacillaceae.
UUUAUUGGAGAGUUUGAUCCUGGCUCAGGACGAACGCUGGCGGCGUGCCUAAUACAUGCAAGUCGAGCGAAUCUG